ACCAACGGCCAUACCAUGUUGAAUACACCGGUUCUCGUACGAUCACCGAAGUUAAACAACAUUGGGCGUGGUUAGUAACUGGAUGGGUGACCGCCUGGGAAUACCGCGUGCUGUUGGCA
This 119-nucleotide ribosomal RNA is filed under the name Rhodnius prolixus. Lineage: Eukaryota; Metazoa; Arthropoda; Insecta; Hemiptera; Reduviidae. The record is from RNAcentral.